Molecule: long non-coding RNA, 1660 nt
Organism: Columba livia (rock pigeon)
Lineage: Eukaryota; Metazoa; Chordata; Aves; Columbiformes; Columbidae
Exons: 2
Source: RefSeq, a predicted model, not a curated record
UGCCCACCCGCCCGCUCCAGGUGCGCUGCCGGCUGCAGCAGCCGCUCCUCACCUUCCUCAUCCUCCCGCAGCCCCCGAGGGCUCCUCUGAGCCCGGAGAGCCCCUGCCUGAGCUCCUCCAGUGCCUGCCGGGCUCGGACAGAUGCACAAGUGAAGGUUCCCACUGGUCCCAUCAACUUGGAGCAUCCCCUGCAUGGGCCGGUCCCGUCCACUGGGCCUCUAUCCUCCCAGCUGCUCCACUGAGCCCUGCCAAAGAACCGCUUUUCAACCCCAAAAUCCUAUUCAAGCCCUGCUCUGUCCUCCUCCAUCCCCAGGCCCUCACUGUCCAUCUCCAUCCCUGUGUCCCAGCCGCGGCUCCAGGCGCUGGAGACAGGAGGGGGAGCUCUCAGCACGCUGCUCUGGACAAGAACAGUUCGCACAAACCGGGGAAGAGCAGAUCCGAGGCAACAGCAGAGAUUCGAGGCCACAGAACAAACGCCAUGUCCCACAGUGAUGCACUAAAAGCUGCACAUAGGAAUGAUUUCUGCAACCCGUGCUGGGACUCUGAAUUUUCCCCCAACACCACACACCUGCUUUAAGAUAUGUGCACAGAACCCUCCAUGCUGCAGCGCUUUCCUGUCUGCAACGUAGCAAUGCCAGCAUCUGCCUCCUGCCUGAGGGCAACGCUCAAGAGCAUGUUGGAACCCUUCACUUAAAGAGGAUCAGCAGGCAAAACGAAAAUGAAGCACCUCUGCUGUUCGGAUGGUCCAGCAGCCUAUAACUGAUGCACAACAUCUCACCACUCAAAACAAUGACUUUGGUAACAGUCCUGCAAAAAUCAGGUGUGUUUUGGGUACAUUUCACCUUGGAAAAAGCUCCUCUGGCCACGGACUCCAAAGAAGCACCAGGAUUCAGCGCUGAAUGGAGGGAUGCAGCACAGCACGCUUCUCAAGCGCAGCUCCAGCAUCCUCAGCUGGAAUGCUUUUCAACACAAACCAGUGCAUUUCUACAUUUCAGAAAUCACAGCUAGAAAUUAUCAUCAUGUGGAGUACGGCCCUUUUAAAUCACAGCUAACUUUUUCAAAAGGAAGCAUUUUUUCCAAAUUGAAGAUUUUCUACUUGAUAUUUACUGACUACAAGAAAUAUCAGGCAGUUACAGUCUCUAAGGACUGCAAACCAUCUUCUAAUUAUGAAAGUAUGUGCAAUCCUGUAAAUAAGGCUAGACUCAGCUUGGUCUGAAAAAAAAGGAGGCUUUAGAUAUCAUUUCAAACUAUUUAGUUACUGAAAUGGAAUUUUCUGUGCCUGCCAAAAUGAAUCCUAUUCAGUGUGAUGCAACAGGUGUUGGAAUUCCAGCAGCCGCCUGCAACCCACAUCUGGUAACCGUUAGGAGUUUAAAGGAAGUUCUGUAAGAACUGCUUAUGUAUAAAAACUAUUCAUCAGUCAAAUCUAUGGGCCAUAUUCACCCACCCGCUUGCACUGUGCAUAGUUCAGAUUUUUAUUUCGUUUACAAAAAACGUAAUUCUGCUUCUCAUGAAAUGUCAGGAAUCUCAGGCGCUUGUCCAGGUUGGAAGCGUGGGGGGAUCGGAACGGCCGUGUUGGAAAGGUGAGAGAGGGACUGCAGUUUGUAGAGGAAGGCAUGAGUACAUCUGUAUUUGUUCUGACUAAAUCUAAUUUAUACCCUGA